AGUCGCUCAGUUCGGCUUAAUGUUUUGUCGACUAUGGCAGGUUAAACCAAUUCUUUGGCGAGCUACUGGGAGUCCGCUUCGACCCAGCAGACUUGGAGCUUUCCGGCCGAGCGGAGGCCAAGUCACUUUCGCUGCUGCUCGUUGCUGGAGUCUGCUUGCGCUUCACAGUCAGCCUCUGCAUGUUCCGCUCCAGCGUGGCCUCGCGAAUUGGCUCCGUUGAGCCUAAUGCAACAGAGUUCGAUGAAGAAGGCGUUUCAAGAGGAACGAGAACGCGAGGCCAAGCCGAAGCACAAGCCGGAUGCUACCAAGCAGCACAUGGCGCGACCCACGAAGCUAUCCAAAACUUGUUCCUCGAAUGGCUGUGCCAACUGUCGCAGAACUGGCAGCAAAUAGUGCGAUUUUAUGUAAAAAAAAUUGAAUAAUUUUUAAGUACGAAUACAAAGCUACAAAAAA
Molecule: long non-coding RNA, 453 nt
Organism: Culex quinquefasciatus (southern house mosquito)
Lineage: Eukaryota; Metazoa; Arthropoda; Insecta; Diptera; Culicidae
Exons: 2
Source: RefSeq, a predicted model, not a curated record